RNAcentral lists this long non-coding RNA (654 nucleotides) under Nicotiana benthamiana. RNAcentral describes it as "long non-coding RNA (NBEN_LNC036415)". Lineage: Eukaryota; Viridiplantae; Streptophyta; Magnoliopsida; Solanales; Solanaceae. The record is from RNAcentral.
GUGAGUGGUGAAAAUUUGAAUUUUUUCUGUUUGUGACAGUUGUAAAUCGAGUAAUUAAUGUUUGACUGAGAUUGAAAUUCGGAGGAUCUCUAAAAACUGAAUUGCGGAUCGUAUGAUUCUUUUAUUUGUUAUAAGGUUUCAUACUCUUGGGACAGCGAGGGCUUUUUUUAAUAUUUAGAUUUUUCCCCAGAAAGUAAUCAAUCUUUCGCGGAGAUAUAGAAUAACAUUUUUCUACACUGAUGGCCAAUCCUGAUUUUUCUUUACGGUAUUUCUAUGUCUUGUAUUUACUACAUAAUCUAUAGGUAAGAUUAGCUAAUUACUUUAGUUCGCGAAGUAAUCGGUUUCUUAUUUGAGGCAAAAGAGUCAAAUUAUUAACAUUAAUUCCCUUACAUUGUAAUGCUGAAUGGUUACUAUAUCCUGAUUGUGGAUAUAUAAGGUGCUCUAGCUCUAUGCGGAUGUAGCAUUAUACGACGGCUUCAAUUAAACCCAUAACUUUCGACACGGAACAUAAAUAUGUGUAAAAGUCCACUCAUAUUGCAACAAAUAGUAGAUAUGAACCCAUAGCUUUAAAAACGACUAGGUUCAAUACUAAGAAUUUUAGAGAUUGAGUCAUAUAGUUUAAAUCCUAGAGCUGCCUCUGUCCAUCAAUGCAUG